CAGCAGUGGGGAAUAUUGCACAAUGGGGCGCAAGCCUGAUGCAGCCAUGCCGCGUGUAUGAAGAAGGCCUUCGGGUUGUAAAGUACUUUCAGCAGUGAGGAAGGUGGGUAUGUUAAUAGCAUACUCAUUUGACGUUAGCUGCAGAAGAAGCACCGGCUAACUCCGUGCCAGCAGCCGCGGUAAUACGGAGGGUGCGAGCGUUAAUCGGAAUUACUGGGCGUAAAGCGCAUGCAGGUGGUUGUUAAGUCAGAUGUGAAAGCCCGGGGCGUCAACCUCGGAAUUGCAUUUGAAACUGGCAAACUAGAGUACUGUAGAGGGGGUAGGAAUUUCAGGUGUAGCGGUGAAAUGCGUAGAGAUCUGAAGGAAUACCGGUGGCGAAGGCGGCCCCCUGGACCAGAUACUGACACUCAGAUGCGAAAGCGUGGGGAGCAAACAGGAUUAGAUACCCUGGUAG
This 454-nucleotide ribosomal RNA is filed under the name uncultured bacterium. Its description in RNAcentral is "bacterial SSU rRNA". It matches the Rfam family "Bacterial small subunit ribosomal RNA", at positions 349 to 793 of the family's 1533-position model. The record is from RNAcentral.